UGGGGAAUAUUGGACAAUGGGGGGAACCCUGAUCCAGCCAUGCCGCGUGUGUGAAGAAGGCCUUAUGGUUGUAAAGCACUUUAAGCGAGGAGGAGGGUACUGGUAUUAAUACUACCAGGUACUGGACGUUACUCGCAGAAUAAGCACCGGCUAACUCUGUGCCAGCAGCCGCGGUAAUACAGAGGGUGCGAGCGUUAAUCGGAUUUACUGGGCGUAAAGCGUGCGUAGGCGGCUAAUUGAGUCGGAUGUGAAAUCCCCGAGCUUAACUUGGGAAUUGCAUUCGAUACUGGUUAGCUAGAGUGUGGGAGAGGAUGGUAGAAUUCCAGGUGUAGCGGUGAAAUGCGUAGGAAUCUGGAGGAAUACCGAUGGCGAAGGCAGCCAUCUGGCCUAACACUGACGCUGAGGUACGAAAGCAUGCGGAGCAAACAGG
This 430-nucleotide ribosomal RNA is filed under the name Pseudomonadota bacterium. RNAcentral describes it as "Proteobacteria bacterium partial 16S ribosomal RNA". It matches the Rfam family "Bacterial small subunit ribosomal RNA", at positions 355 to 776 of the family's 1533-position model. The record is from RNAcentral. Lineage: Bacteria; Pseudomonadati; Pseudomonadota.